This 83-nucleotide transfer RNA is filed under the name Oikopleura dioica. It matches the Rfam family "tRNA". From Rfam's summary of the family: Transfer RNA (tRNA) molecules are approximately 80 nucleotides in length. Their secondary structure includes four short double-helical elements and three loops (D, anti-codon, and T loops). Lineage: Eukaryota; Metazoa; Chordata; Appendicularia; Copelata; Oikopleuridae. The record is from Rfam by way of RNAcentral.
ACCAGGAUGGCCGAGUGGUUAAGGCGUUGGACUUAAGUUCCAAUGGGGGCAUCCCCGCGUGGGUUCGAACCCCACUUCUGGUA